UGGACCUCGUCCAACUCCUACAAGGAUGCCUUCCGUUGACAUUGUAGCACUACUGAGUCAGUUUUCAAGCUGUCAUGUUUGUUCAAAUGCAGUGGCAAAACAACACCCCACAUUGUCUCUAUUUCAGGGUCAUGUUGGAAAAACUCUGAAACUCAGUAACUUCUCUCAGCCUAUCCACUCAAGAGCGAAUGUGGGAUUUUUCUGGUAGGACACCCUUUUCUUUUGUAGAGGGAGUGUUGAAAUAGCAGUGGUCCCUGGAGAAGAUGUGUUAAAACAUCUUCCAUAGAGGGAGAGUGUGUUGAAAUAGCAGUGAUCUCUAGUAGUUACUGUGUUGAAAUAGCAGUCUUCUACAGAAGAGACUGUGUUACAGUAUGGACUUGGGAGAUAGACAUCAUGUGACUGUUGCCAUGGACGUCCAGCAAAGGACCCCAGACAUAAUCAGGAACCAGAUAGAUGGAAAUAUAUUCAAAUCAGCAAUACAUCUAAAGUGACUUUAAUAAACAAAUGUUUAUUUAAAA
Esox lucius (northern pike) is the source of this 518-nucleotide long non-coding RNA. The record is from Ensembl. NCBI's taxonomy places the organism in Eukaryota, Metazoa, Chordata, Actinopteri, Esociformes, Esocidae.